Molecule: non-coding RNA, 83 nt
Organism: Acidithiobacillus caldus SM-1
Lineage: Bacteria; Pseudomonadati; Pseudomonadota; Acidithiobacillia; Acidithiobacillales; Acidithiobacillaceae
Source: Rfam
GAAAGCCGUGUGCGGGAAAACUGCACGCACGGUUUGACGGGGGGUCGCUGGGGAGAUCACUUCAAACCAGAGACCUACCCUAC